UUGCAAGCCAGAUCACUUGCUCUGCAUCCAGUUGCAGAAGUGAGGGGAACAUGUUUGCUAAAUUAUAAGUGGUUGAAAUAUAGACGCCUUAGAAACAAUAUUUAUUUGGUUACUGUUUCUACCCUACAUAA
This is a small nucleolar RNA of Bombina bombina (fire-bellied toad), 131 nucleotides long. The record is from RefSeq and is a predicted model, not a curated record. NCBI's taxonomy places the organism in Eukaryota, Metazoa, Chordata, Amphibia, Anura, Bombinatoridae.